RNAcentral lists this ribosomal RNA (406 nucleotides) under uncultured bacterium. RNAcentral describes it as "partial 16S ribosomal RNA". It matches the Rfam family "Bacterial small subunit ribosomal RNA", at positions 30 to 526 of the family's 1533-position model. The record is from RNAcentral.
AUUGAACGCUGGCGGCAGGCCUAACACAUGCAAGUCGAACGAGUGGCGGACGGGUGAGUAAUGUCUGGGAAACUGCCUGAUGGAGGGGGAUAACUACUGGAAACGGUAGCUAAUACCGCAUACUAUCAGAUGUGCCCAUAUGGGAUUAGCUAGUGGGUGGGGUAACGGCUCACCAAGGCGACGAUCCCUAGCUGGUCUGAGAGGAUGAUCAGCCACACGGGAACUGAGACACGGCCCAGACUCCUACGGGAGGCAGCAGUGGGGAAUAUUGCACAAUGGGCGCAAGCCUGAUGCAGCCAUGCCGCGUGUAUGAAGAAGGCCUUAGGGUUGUAAAGUACUUUCAGCGGGGAGGCGUUACCCGCAGAAGAAGCACCGGCUAACUCCGUGCCAGCAGCCGCGGUAAUUC